GCCGGGUGUGGUGGCGCGUGCUUGUAGUCUCAGCUACUCAGGAGGCUGGGAUGGGAGGAUCGCUUGAGCCCAGGAGUUCUGGGCUGUAGUGCGCUAUGCCGAUUGGGUGUCCGCACUAAUUUUGGCAUCAAUAUGGUGACCUCCCAGGAGCAGGGGACCACCAGGUUGCCUAAGGAGGAGUGAACUGGCCCAGGUUGGAAACAGAGCAGGUCAAAACUCCUGUGCUGAUCAGUAGCAGGAUCGAACCUGUGAACAGCCACUGAACUCCAGCCUGGGCAAAUAGUGAGACCCCAUCUCU
RNAcentral lists this signal recognition particle RNA (298 nucleotides) under Aotus nancymaae (Ma's night monkey). RNAcentral describes it as "Metazoan signal recognition particle RNA (ENSANAG00000004256.1)". It matches the Rfam family "Metazoan signal recognition particle RNA". From Rfam's summary of the family: The signal recognition particle (SRP) is a universally conserved ribonucleoprotein. It is involved in the co-translational targeting of proteins to membranes. Lineage: Eukaryota; Metazoa; Chordata; Mammalia; Primates; Aotidae. The record is from RNAcentral.